UACGUAGGGUGCAAGCGUUAAUCGGAAUUACUGGGCGUAAAGCGUGCGCAGGCGGUGAUGUAAGACAGGUGUGAAAUCCCCGGGCUUAACCUGGGAACUGCAUUUGUGACUGCAUCGCUGGAGUGCGGCAGAGGGGGAUGGAAUUCCGCGUGUAGCAGUGAAAUGCGUAGAUAUGCGGAGGAACACCGAUGGCGAAGGCAAUCCCCUGGGCCUGCACUGACGCUCAUGCACGAAAGCGUGGGGAACAAACAGG
Molecule: ribosomal RNA, 253 nt
Filed under: uncultured bacterium
Lineage: Bacteria
Description: partial 16S ribosomal RNA
Rfam family: Bacterial small subunit ribosomal RNA
Source: RNAcentral